Molecule: ribosomal RNA, 487 nt
Filed under: uncultured bacterium
Lineage: Bacteria
Description: bacterial SSU rRNA
Rfam family: Bacterial small subunit ribosomal RNA
Source: RNAcentral
GGUUACGAUCAUUAGCGGGUCUGAGAGGAUGGUCAGCCACAGUGGAAUUGAGACACGGUCCAGAGUCAUACGGGAGCCAGCAGUGGGGAAUAUUGCGCCAUGGGGGAAGCCCUGACGCAGCCAUGCCGUUUGUGUGAAGAGUGCUCUAGGGUUGUAAAGCACUUUCAGUAGGGAGAAAAAGUUAGUAGAUAAUACCUGCUUACCAGAACGUUACUUACCGAAGAAGCACCGGCUAAAUCCGUGCCAGCAGCCGCGGUAAUAUGGAGGGUGCAAGCGUUAAUCGGAAUUUCUGGGUGUAAAGCGGAAGUAGGCGGCUUGGUCACUUGGAUGUGAAAGCCCCGGGCUCAUCCUGGGAACUGCGUUCAAUACUGCCAAGACAGAGUAUGGGAGAGGGUUGUGGAAUUGCACGUGUAGCGGUGAACUAGGUAGAUAUGUGGAGGAACAUCAGUGGCGAAGGCGGCACCCUGGCCCAAUAGACACGCUGAGG